RNAcentral lists this ribosomal RNA (250 nucleotides) under uncultured bacterium. RNAcentral's name for it is "partial 16S ribosomal RNA". It matches the Rfam family "Bacterial small subunit ribosomal RNA", at positions 779 to 1025 of the family's 1533-position model. The record is from RNAcentral.
UAGAUACCCUGGUAGUCCACGCUGUAAACGAUGAGUGCUAGGUGUUAGACCCUUUCCGGGGUUUAGUGGGGCCGUAGCUAACGCAUUAAGCACUCCGCCUGGGGAGUACGACCGCAAGGUUGAAACUCAAAGGAAUUGACGGGGGCCCGCACAAGCGGUGGAGCAUGUGGUUUAAUUCGAAGCAACGCGAAGAACCUUACCAGGUCUGACAUCCCUCUGACCGCUCUAGAGAUAGAGUUUUCCUUCGGGA